RNAcentral lists this long non-coding RNA (512 nucleotides) under Suricata suricatta (meerkat). RNAcentral's name for it is "lncRNA (ENSSSUG00005016501.1)". Lineage: Eukaryota; Metazoa; Chordata; Mammalia; Carnivora; Herpestidae. The record is from RNAcentral.
GGAUGGAAAGUUGAGGUUAUGAAGAUUUAAUUGUAUGUUUUUACUUAAAAGACCUGCUUUAUUAACUGGCCAGGGCUUAGACUAAGGUCUGGCCCUAGUUAAUAAAGGAAACACUCUACAUUUCUGAAACUUACAAAGAUAAAAGGAGGGGGAAAAAGCCUUGAACCCAGAUUCUAUGAUGUAGUACUAAAAUACAAGGGGAAAACACCAGUCAUUUUAGUAGGAAAAGGAAAAUGAACUCUGCUUGGAUUAUACUCAAAGAUAAACCAUACUAGGAUUCUCCUUCUGAUUUCUUAGAGUAGUAUUACUUUAUUUUAUUUUUUUGUUUUAUUUUUCAGGAAGUUUCUAAUUUUGAGAAUGCAAAACCAAAAAGAAAGUCAAUCCGGAGAUCUAUGUCUGAAAGCAAAGGAUUUGAAAGGAAAAUGGUGAAUGACACAAUCUGGCAAGAACCCACCAAGCCAGAGAAUGAUUCCCACAUCAGAAGGCUCUGUCAGCGAAAAGGUAAUUGCUAA